CUUUGUUUGUCCAUCGGGUGAAGAACAAAGUUCGGUUCCAUAUUUUUGUUCGCUCUUUUGUUUAUUGACUUCUAGCUCUGUACGUAUGCAGAAAUUGCAAGGUGUACUAUUCUGUGAUGUUCCAGGAUUCAAAUCGUGGAAAAGGAGCCUGCCACUAAAUUGUUCUGUCCAUGAGUAUGCCAUCCUCAAGAUGUCUAUGCAGGCAAGAACUUCAUGCUUUCUUGCUCUGGUUGGUGGGUCAGAUGAGCUUGCAAUAUCUCUGAGUUGUGCACAAGAAGACCUUUUGUGUAGGUUUAUUCUUGAGGGACAUGCCCGACGAGGAUAUUUCGAGGUGAUGAAGUAUUCAGCAUUCGACUCAUCCUUUCUUUCUUUGACAUAUGGGUGCACAAUAUUGAUCUCCUUUUCUGUUUUACUCACCCGAGCGGCAACGCGAAGCUGCAGUUGCUGAAAAUAGCGGUGCUAGCAUGAGGAUCACAUGUUCGUCUGUCUCUUAUUUCUAUCUCUUUUGGUAUAUCUUUCUCAGUCCUGAUACCUUUUGAUGAUACAGUUUUUCAUGUUUGAGUUGAUCAUUCAGUAAGAUCAAGCAACAUAAUGCUACAACUACUUCUUACGGUUCCAGUUAGACAAGAUAAAUAUGAAUAUCAAAAGGGUUGUUGGAUAUCGGCAAUGGUGCAAUAAAUUUUGGAAUGCCAUUCGAUUUGCAAUGGGCAGGCUUGGUGAUCAUUACAGUCCACUAGCAAUUAUCGUUGUGUCUCCAGUGCCUCCAAUCUGCAAAUAGAUACUCUCAGUAUUUAAUAAGACUAUUGGUAAGACUCUGCCCUCAUUACAAGCAUGCAAGUUCUUUGAUGGAACAUCUGCUAUAUACUCAUGGUAGAGCUCUCUCUUUUUUUGUCAUGAAUAAAAUGACAACACACUGAUUUAUUUACUGUAGUGGUCAGGUGCAUGGUUGAAAUGUUAUUCAAUGUGUGUAUAUUAUGAAAAUAUAUACAAGCGCCUUUUUAAUCACUACAACAGGAACCCCCCUUCAGCAACGCAUUGAUGCGUUGCCAUAUGUCCAUAUAAGCGUUGGUGACAUCUACACCAACGGAUUUGUUAUGUGUUGCCGUAGGUGGCGUUGCAAUGGUCUACAGGGAUGGAUAUACAUCCGUUGGUAAACGACACAAAGAAGCGUUGUAAGGCAGCAACGUAUAUAGUUAGAGCCUAACAACACUACAUAUGCGUUGGCACGUUGGUGAUGGCCAUGCAUGAAUGGAUUUUGAAAGGCACGUAUAUAAGAUCAUUGCGAAAGCUUAUACGAGUUGCUAGAUAGCUCAAACAAAUAAUGCUAGUCUACUGAUGGCCAAUAAAAAAUUAUUUAUUCAAUGCUCGGAGUGACAUCAGAAGCAAUAUAGUAAAUAGAAAGACCUCGUGUAUUAAUAAAUCAACUGUGUAGUUUUACAUAGAGCAUGAUUCAAAGAAUAGAAGUUGUGCAUAUCUAAAAAUGACAUUCUAAAAAACAAUCUACAACUAGGUCGUAGUAGCACCAUUGUCGAAACUUCCUCUCAGCACCUCAGCCAUGCAUCAUCCAAUUAUUUUGACAAUCUACAACAAAAGGACCAAUUUUAGAUAAGUAACUUACCAUUAGUGAAACAAAAGAACAAGUGAAUAAAAUAGCUCAAUUUAAAAUAACUGCAACAUAUAUACUCCUCCCAUUCGGAACUAAGUGAAUUGGUUUUGUCUAGAUACAGAUAAAUUUUAGUGUGUAGAUACAUCCAUAUCUAAAUAAAGUUUUGAGUCACUAUACUCCGAAUGAAGGUUGUACAAAGGGUGAAUGCCAUGAGAUAAUUAAUCUUACUAUUCUCGUAACAUGGAAGGAAGUUGAUCUUACCUUCUGUAAACAGCGAGGUCAAAGAAAGAACAAGAACCCAGGAACUCUUUAAGUCAUAUAUAAUUUAGCAUAAAAGUAUUGCAGGAGAUUCUUGUGUGUCCUAUUCUUUUCAGAUCCAAGUAAUCUUCCCAGGCUGCUGCACUUCUUAGACCAUAACAACCUCACUACCAAAGACGUCAGCAGGUUGUACCACAUGCUCUGAUUACUUAAUGGGCCCUACUUCUGUAGAACCAUGGUUUUAUGUUUCUAGUUACAUUACACAAAUACUGAAGCUUUACCUGUCGUCUAAAACUGCGUAAGCAUAGCAUGUUGUCAAGAAAACAACAGAAAUUUCUGAUCCAGUGUGUAUAGCUCCAUGUAAGGAUUACCUGACAAACACAACUGAGUUAAAGAAUUUUAUAUCUUAGUUGUUCCCCUUCUUAUGUUUAGGGGGUUCUAUGAAAGAAUUUCAGAAGUCAAAGCAGUUUCCCUUAUUUUUACAAUCGACUGGUUACUCCAUAACUGAAAGAUGCAUACGGUAGACAGUCCAUACACAAUCAUCGAAGGCAAGAUGAAUAUUAUGAGUUAAUAAUUUUUUUUGUUUGCACGUGCUUGGCAACAGACUUAAGCAGGUAUGUCCCUCCGUCCCAUUAAAAAAAAAUUAAAAGGGGA
Lolium perenne is the source of this 2518-nucleotide non-coding RNA. The record is from RefSeq and is a predicted model, not a curated record. Lineage: Eukaryota; Viridiplantae; Streptophyta; Magnoliopsida; Poales; Poaceae.